This 460-nucleotide ribosomal RNA is filed under the name uncultured bacterium. RNAcentral's name for it is "partial 16S ribosomal RNA". It matches the Rfam family "Bacterial small subunit ribosomal RNA", at positions 338 to 795 of the family's 1533-position model. The record is from RNAcentral.
CCUACGGGAGGCAGCAGUGAGGAAUAUUGGUCAAUGGGCGCGAGCCUGAACCAGCCAAGUAGCGUGAAGGAUGACGGCCCUGCGGGUUGUAAACCUCUUUUAUAAAGGAAUAAAGUGAGGCACGUGUGCCUUGUUGUAUGUACUUGAUGAAUAAGGAUCGGCUAACUCCGUGCCAGCAGCCGCGGUAAUACGGAGGAUGCGAGCGUUAUCCGGAUUUAUUGGGUUUAAAGGGAGCGUAGGUGGGUUGUUAAGUCAGUGGUGAAAGUUUGCGGCUCAACCGUAAAAUGGCCAUUGAGACUGGCAGUCUUGAGUACAGUUGAGGUAUGCGGAAUGCGUGGUGUAGCGGUGAAAUGCUUAGAUAUCACGAAGAACUCCGAUUGCGAAGGCAGCUUACUAGCCUGCCACUGACGUUGAUGCUCGAAAGUGUGGGUAUCAAACAGGAUUAGAUACCCGAGUAGUC